RNAcentral lists this long non-coding RNA (285 nucleotides) under Physcomitrium patens. Its description in RNAcentral is "long non-coding RNA (PPAT_LNC001544)". The record is from RNAcentral. Lineage: Eukaryota; Viridiplantae; Streptophyta; Bryopsida; Funariales; Funariaceae.
AUUUCUCUUCGUACGCAUAUGUGAUGCUUCAAAGAGUGACAAUAGAUACAAAUUUGACACCUUAACUUUGAAUACCUAUAUCUCCUUCAAAAAAACUCAAAAUCACACAAAAUCUUUAUCCAAAUUAUAUCCAAAACCAUGAACUUGGUGAUUCUAGCCUCUAAAGCUCAAAUGAAUUCGAAAGAGAAACCCAAAUUCCUAAUAAAGCCUCAGGCAGCCUCCUUGAAGCCCAUUAGGAAUUGCCUUCGACCAAUAGGGAUGAAGUUUCCCAUUCCUUGCCUUCAU